UGUAUAUUAAUUCGUUCUAUAAGCUAUCUAUAUAUAAUAUUAAAAUAUACGGCGCUGAUAUUGUUCCAGUGUUAUCGACGUGAAAGAAAUUCAUGGUUGCUAUUAGUUUUAAUAUAUCAUAAUCGAUAAAUAAUAUUAUCGUUUUGGAAACGGCGACUGUAACGCAGUCUUUAUUCAGAAAAUGAUAAAAGGGCCAAAAAUUAUUGGCCCUCCCCCCCUAGUAGAAAUACUCUGGCUAUGUGUCUGAGAUCACGACAGAUUAAAGACUAACCGGAAAAGAUAUGGUUAAGAUUGAUUUAAAUUUUAAACUAGUAUUAUCAAUAGAACAUAUAUCAUAUUAUGCACUACAGCGC
Molecule: long non-coding RNA, 353 nt
Organism: Aphis gossypii (cotton aphid)
Lineage: Eukaryota; Metazoa; Arthropoda; Insecta; Hemiptera; Aphididae
Exons: 3
Source: RefSeq, a predicted model, not a curated record